CGAGCGGAUGAGUGGAGCUUGCUCCAUGAUUCAGCGGCGGACGGGUGAGUAAUGCCUAGGAAUCUGCCUGGUAGUGGGGGACAACGUUUCGAAAGGAACGCUAAUACCGCAUACGUCCUACGGGAGAAAGUGGGGGAUCUUCGGACCUCACGCUAUCAGAUGAGCCUAGGUCGGAUUAGCUAGUUGGUGAGGUAAAGGCUCACCAAGGCGACGAUCCGUAACUGGUCUGAGAGGAUGAUCAGUCACACUGGAACUGAGACACGGUCCAGACUCCUACGGGAGGCAGCAGUGGGGAAUAUUGGACAAUGGGCGAAAGCCUGAUCCAGCCAUGCCGCGUGUGUGAAGAAGGUCUUCGGAUUGUAAAGCACUUUAAGUUGGGAGGAAGGGCAGUAAGUUAAUACCUUGCUGUUUUGACGUUACCAACAGAAUAAGCACCGGCUAACUUCGUGCCAGCAGCCGCGGUAAUACGAAGGGUGCAAGCGUUAAUCGGAAUUACUGGGCGUAAAGCGCGCGUAGGUGGUUCGUUAAGUUGGAUGUGAAAGCCCCGGGCUCAACCUGGGAACUGCAUCCAAAACUGGCGA
RNAcentral lists this ribosomal RNA (581 nucleotides) under Stutzerimonas stutzeri. Its description in RNAcentral is "bacterial SSU rRNA". It matches the Rfam family "Bacterial small subunit ribosomal RNA", at positions 63 to 639 of the family's 1533-position model. The record is from RNAcentral. Lineage: Bacteria; Pseudomonadati; Pseudomonadota; Gammaproteobacteria; Pseudomonadales; Pseudomonadaceae.